AUGGCAGUGAAUAUCAAACAGUAGACCGCCA
RNAcentral lists this non-coding RNA (31 nucleotides) under Homo sapiens (human). The record is from RNAcentral. Lineage: Eukaryota; Metazoa; Chordata; Mammalia; Primates; Hominidae.